RNAcentral lists this long non-coding RNA (246 nucleotides) under Gossypium barbadense (sea-island cotton). Its description in RNAcentral is "long non-coding RNA (GBAR_LNC006399)". Lineage: Eukaryota; Viridiplantae; Streptophyta; Magnoliopsida; Malvales; Malvaceae. The record is from RNAcentral.
AACGAGACAUUUCUAUUAAAUCUCAUUGUUAUCUGUUGGCGACAUUCAAAUAUACAUCCAACUAUUGUUGUCAAAAUUAAUCCAUCGAAAUAAACGCAUAUGAAAAACUGAUUAUCCAUCUUCAAUACUAAAUCUGUUAAAAAAUAAACAAAAAUUCUCAAUACAAUUUUAAACAACAAAAAAAUUAUUUAAAUAAAAAAUUUAAUGAAAAAAAAGAUCAACAUUAUAUCAAUAUGCAAAACUUUU